UGACGAGUGGCGGACGGGUGAGUAAUGUCUGGGGAUCUGCCCGACAGAGGGGGAUAACCACUGGAAACGGUGGCUAAUACCGCAUAAUCUCGAAAGAGCAAAGAGGGGGACCUUCGGGCCUCUCACUGUCGGAUGAACCCAGAUGGGAUUAGCUAGUAGGUGGGGUAACGGCUCACCUAGGCGACGAUCCCUAGCUGGUCUGAGAGGAUGACCAGCCACACUGGAACUGAGACACGGUCCAG
RNAcentral lists this ribosomal RNA (242 nucleotides) under uncultured bacterium. RNAcentral describes it as "partial 16S ribosomal RNA". It matches the Rfam family "Bacterial small subunit ribosomal RNA", at positions 89 to 334 of the family's 1533-position model. The record is from RNAcentral.